AACGAACGCUGGCGGCAUGCCUAACACAUGCAAGUCGAACGAGACCUUCGGGUCUAGUGGCGCACGGGUGCGUAACGCGUGGGAACCUGCCCUUAGGUUCGGAAUAACUCCCCGAAAGGGGUGCUAAUACCGGAUAAUGUCUUCGGACCAAAGAUUUAUCGCCUUUGGAUGGGCCCGCGUUGGAUUAGCUAGUUGGUAGGGUAAAAGCCUACCAAGGCGACGAUCCAUAGCUGGUCUGAGAGGAUGAUCAGCCACACUGGGACUGAGACACGGCCCAGACUCCCACGGGGGGCAGCAGGGGGGAAAUUGGGAAAAUGGGCGAAGGCCUGAUCCAGCAAGGCCGGGUGGGGGAUGAAGGCCUUGGGGUUGAAAAGCUCUUUUACCCGGGAUGAUAAUGACAGUACCGGGAGAAAAAGCCCCGGCUAACUCCGG
RNAcentral lists this ribosomal RNA (432 nucleotides) under uncultured bacterium. RNAcentral describes it as "partial 16S ribosomal RNA". It matches the Rfam family "Bacterial small subunit ribosomal RNA", at positions 29 to 506 of the family's 1533-position model. The record is from RNAcentral.